GUGCCAGCCGCCGCGGUAAUACGUAGGGGGCGAACGUUGCUCGGAAUUACUGGGCGUAAAGGGUGUGUAGGCGGGGAUGCAAGUCAGAUGUGAAAUUCCGGGGCUCAACUCCGGCGCUGCAUCUGAAACUGUGUCUCUUGAGUGCUGGAGAGGAAAGUGGAAUUCCUAGUGUAGCGGUGAAAUGCGUAGAGAUUAGGAGGAACACCAGUGGCGAAGGCGGCUUUCUGGACAGUAACUGACGCUGAGGCGCGAAAGCGUGGGGAGCAAACAGGAUUAGAUACCCUGGUAGUCCACGCCGUAAACGAUGGAUACUAGGUGUAGGAGGUAUCGACCCCUUCUGUGCCGGAGUUAACACAAUAAGUAUCCCACCUGGGGAGUACGGCCGCAAGGUUGAAACUUAAAUGAAUUGGCGGGG
This 415-nucleotide ribosomal RNA is filed under the name uncultured prokaryote. RNAcentral describes it as "bacterial SSU rRNA". It matches the Rfam family "Bacterial small subunit ribosomal RNA", at positions 505 to 918 of the family's 1533-position model. The record is from RNAcentral.